CCAUGGUCCCUUUGGAAGUGAUGUGUCAGAUUUAAGCGAGUUCAAACAAAUGUUCUGUCUUGAAUCAAUACCAGCUGGCUGUGAAACACCUGAUUGUGGGUGAAACUUGUGGUUCCUAUGCACAACAAACAGCUUUGUGGAUUAUAGUCUGUUUACUAAAGCCAAUUUGGUGGGGCAAGUAAAUGAAGAAGAAAGAAGGGCAAAACCAUUUACCAAGAAGGAGCUGCCAAAUUCACUAAGGAAUGAGUGAAGUGAUGCAAGCACAGCUCCUGCCAUCAAGACAGAACCCGGUCUAAUUGUAAGAAAAACAUCAGACAAAUUCCCAAGAAGGGGCAUGCUAUAGUAAACCUGACCAGUAUUCCUCAACACUGUCAAGGCCAUCAAAAACCAAAAGUCUGAGAACCUGCCACAGUCAAGAGGAGGCUAAGGAUACCUGAUAACGAAAGGUAAUGUAGUA
Cercocebus atys (sooty mangabey) is the source of this 457-nucleotide long non-coding RNA. RefSeq lists it as uncharacterized. The transcript has 4 exons. The record is from RefSeq and is a predicted model, not a curated record. NCBI's taxonomy places the organism in Eukaryota, Metazoa, Chordata, Mammalia, Primates, Cercopithecidae.